AAGUCGUAACAAGGUUUCCGUAGAUCAAGUACGGGAUAGCUCCACCGCAAGGUGGAGAUGAUCCUUCCGCGUAACACUUGCCGAAGCCUUAGCAGCCCGAAAGGGUGCAGUUCCAACGACUCUAAAAACUCGAGAACUGCUUAAAUGCUAGUCUGCGUUUAGCAGGCAACACUGUCAAAUUGCGGGAACACCCUAAAGACCUCAACACCAAGCGCUCACGGGAAACCGUGGCGUGGCCGAGCUAAUAGCCCUGGGUAUGGUAACAGCUUGAGGUAUGAAGCCCCUUUUGGGGCAGAAAUGGGCAAUCCGCAGCCAAGUCCUAACGCACUUCGGUGUUAUGGAUGCUGUUCACAGGCCAAAUGGUAGUGGGUGACUUUCGGGUUGCUUAAGAUAUGGUCGGGCCCCUUCAGAAAUGUCGGGGAUAAGUUUACGCAGUUACUCAGUGCUUGCAUUGGGUGACGAAGAACUCAUGUAGCGUAAAAACUGCGUUGAGUAAGAACAAACCGUUCCGUAGGUGAACCUGCGGAAGGAUCAUUACACAAUAUUACGGGGGGCCGGACCCCAAAACUGCUUGCAGCUUUGGGCCUGCCCUGUCUGAUAUUCUACCCAUGUCUUUUGCGUACUUUUCGUUUCUUGGUGGGCUUGCCUGCCAAUAGGACAACCAAUUAAACCUUUUUGUAAUUGCAUCAGCGUCUGAAAAACUUUAAUAGUUACAA
Molecule: non-coding RNA, 716 nt
Filed under: plant metagenome
Description: partial contains small subunit ribosomal RNA and internal transcribed spacer 1
Rfam family: Group I catalytic intron (bases 133-420)
Source: RNAcentral